GAUGAACGCUAGCGGCAGGCCUAACACAUGCAAGUCGAGGGGCAGCACAGAAACAGAAAUGUUUUGGUGGCGACCGGCGGACGGGUGCGUAACGCGUAUGCAACCUACCUUUAACAGGGGGAUAACGGAGAGAAAUUUCCACUAAUACCCCAUAACAUCGAUCAAGGCAUCUUGAUUGGUUGAAAACUCCGGUGGUUAAAGAUGGGCAUGCGUUGUAUUAGGUAGUUGGUGUGGUAAUGGCUCACCAAGCCAACGAUACAUAGGGGGACUGAGAGGUUAGCCCACCACAAUGGUACUGGUACACGGACCAGAGUCCUACGGGAGGAAGCAGUGAGGAAUAUUGGUCAAUGGGGGCAACCCUGAACCAGCCAUGCCGCGUGCAGGAAGACGGCUCUAUUAGUUGUAAACUGCUUUUAAACAGGGAUAAAGCACAGUAUGUAUACUGUGUUGAAGGUACUGUAAGAAUAAGGAUCGGCUAACUCCGUGCCAGCAGCCGCCGUAA
Molecule: ribosomal RNA, 502 nt
Filed under: uncultured bacterium
Lineage: Bacteria
Description: partial 16S ribosomal RNA
Rfam family: Bacterial small subunit ribosomal RNA
Source: RNAcentral